Molecule: long non-coding RNA, 283 nt
Filed under: Elaeis guineensis (African oil palm)
Lineage: Eukaryota; Viridiplantae; Streptophyta; Magnoliopsida; Arecales; Arecaceae
Description: long non-coding RNA (EGUI_LNC045728)
Source: RNAcentral
CUGCUUCUUCCUUUCUUUCUAGAAGGAUAUUCUCAAUUCUUUCAGUUUAUCUUCCUAUAGUACUAAGAGCAAGAUUGGUAAAGUUUUGUUGUUCAAUAAUUUGCCCAAGAUGUUCUACCUUAGGAGUUUCUUUAAGACCAAUAGCAAAUAGUUUUAUAGGAUUAGCAUGAAUUCCUCCAUCAACUAGUAUUGGUUCAAAAGGAGGAUGUCUUGAAUCUACAUCAGGACCUCUUUCAAUUUUCUAUGAUUUAAAAAUAGUUUUGACCAUAGCAACUUGUAGGCC